CAGUAGCCGCGGGAAUGCGAAGGGGGCUAGCGUUGCUCGGAAUGACUGGGCGUAAAGGGCGCGUAGGCGGUUUGCCAAGUUAGAUGUGAAAUUCCCGGGCUUAACCUGGGGACUGCAUUUGAUACUGGCAGGCUUGAGUGUGGAAGAGGGUCGUGGAAUUCCCAGUGUAGAGGUGAAAUUCGUAGAUAUUGGGAAGAACACCGGUGGCGAAGGCGGCGACCUGGUCCAUAACUGACGCUGAGGCGCGAAAGCGUGGGGAGCAAACAGGAUUAGAUACCCCCGUAGUCCCUGUCUCUUAUAC
This 301-nucleotide ribosomal RNA is filed under the name uncultured bacterium. Its description in RNAcentral is "partial 16S ribosomal RNA". It matches the Rfam family "Bacterial small subunit ribosomal RNA", at positions 509 to 807 of the family's 1533-position model. The record is from RNAcentral.